ACUCCUACGGGAGGCAGCAGUGGGGAAUAUUGCACAAUGGGCGAAAGCCUGAUGCAGCGACGCCGCGUGAGGGAUGACGGCCUUCGGGUUGUAAACCUCUUUCAGUCAGGAACAAGCCACUUGUGGUGAGGGUACUGGCAGAAGAAGCACCGGCUAACUACGUGCCAGCAGCCGCGGUAAUACGUAGGGUGCGAGCGUUAUCCGGAAUUAUUGGGCGUAAAGAGCUUGUAGGCGGUUUGUCGCGUCUGCUGUGAAAGCCCGGGGCUUAACUCCGGGUCUGCAGUGGGUACGGGCAGGCUAGAGUGAUGUAGGGGUAACUGGAAUUCCUGGUGUAGCGGUGGAAUGCGCAGAUAUCAGGAAGAACACCGAUGGCGAAGGCAGGUUACUGGGCAUUUACUGACGCUGAGAAGCGAAAGCAUGGGGAGCGAACAGGAUUAGAUACCCUGGUAGGCGUA
Molecule: ribosomal RNA, 455 nt
Filed under: uncultured bacterium
Lineage: Bacteria
Description: bacterial SSU rRNA
Rfam family: Bacterial small subunit ribosomal RNA
Source: RNAcentral